RNAcentral lists this ribosomal RNA (428 nucleotides) under uncultured bacterium. RNAcentral describes it as "partial 16S ribosomal RNA". It matches the Rfam family "Bacterial small subunit ribosomal RNA", at positions 354 to 796 of the family's 1533-position model. The record is from RNAcentral.
GUGGGGAAUAUUGGGCAAUGGGCGCAAGCCUGACCCAGCAACGCCGCGUGAAGGAAGAAGGCUUUCGGGUUGUAAACUUCUUUUACCAGGGACGAAACAAAUGACGGUACCUGGUGAAUAAGCCACGGCUAACUACGUGCCAGCAGCCGCGGUAAUACGUAGGUGGCGAGCGUUAUCCGGAUUUAUUGGGUGGAAAGGGCGUGUAGGCGGGACAGCAAGUCAGAUGUGAAAACCAGAGGCUCAACCUCUGGCCUGCAUUUGAAACUGUUGUUCUUGAGUGUCGGAGAGGUAAUCGGAAUUCCGUGUGUAGCGGUGAAAUGCGUAGAUAUACGGAGGAACACCAGUGGCGAAGGCGGAUUACUGGACGAUAACUGACGCUGAGGCGCGAAAGCGUGGGGAGCAAACAGGAUUAGAAACCCCAGUAGUCC